UAUAAUAUUAUCUAGAUGAUAUCAAAUAUUAUUAAGCAUAUGCAAAUUUCAAACAAUAUAAUGAAAUUCAUUAUUAAUGAAUGACAUGUAUCAUUAUGCAUAGAGUGACACUACCUAUUCUAUAUGACAUGUUAUCAUGGCAUGUAAUCAUUCAAAACAUAACAUAUAGAAAAACAAUUAAAUAAUCUUAAUUCAUGGCUUUCCUAAUAAUGAAAAAUACAUUAACCCUAAGCCUAAUCUUCAUUGGGCUUCUUGUCAAUGUCCAUCUUCCAUAAGUUUGUCUUUGUUAAUGGACUAGGGGAAAUUGGGCUUUUAAAUUUAUAAUUGGUCCAAUUUUAAUUU
This 342-nucleotide long non-coding RNA is filed under the name Citrus x clementina. RNAcentral describes it as "Citrus clementina (C. clementina) long non-coding RNA (CCLE_LNC001013)". Lineage: Eukaryota; Viridiplantae; Streptophyta; Magnoliopsida; Sapindales; Rutaceae. The record is from RNAcentral.